UACGUAGGGGGCAAGCGUUGUCCGGAAUCAUUGGGCGUAAAGAGCUCGUAGGCGGUUCGGCAAGUCGGAUGUGAAAUCUCCACGCUCAACGUGGAGGGGCCAUUCGAAACUGCCGUGACUCGAGUCCGGUAGGGGAGUGCGGAAUUCCCGGUGUAGCGGUGAAAUGCGCAGAUAUCGGGAGGAACACCAGUGGCGAAGGCGGCACUCUGGGCCGGAACUGACGCUGAGGAGCGAAAGCGUGGGGAGCGAACAGG
Molecule: ribosomal RNA, 254 nt
Filed under: uncultured bacterium
Lineage: Bacteria
Description: partial 16S ribosomal RNA
Rfam family: Bacterial small subunit ribosomal RNA
Source: RNAcentral